AUUGAACGCUGGCGGCAUGCCUUACACAUGCAAGUCGAACGGUAACAGGUCUUCGGACGCUGACGAGUGGCGAACGGGUGAGUAAUACAUCGGAACGUGCCCAGUCGUGGGGGAUAACUACUCGAAAGAGUAGCUAAUACCGCAUACGAUCUGAGGAUGAAAGCGGGGGACCUUCGGGCCUCGCGCGAUUGGAGCGGCCGAUGGCAGAUUAGGUAGUUGGUGGGAUAAAAGCUUACCAAGCCGACGAUCUGUAGCUGGUCUGAGAGGACGACCAGCCACACUGGGACUGAGACACGGCCCAGACUCCUACGGGAGGCAGCAGUGGGGAAUUUUGGACAAUGGGCGAAAGCCUGAUCCAGCAAUGCCGCGUGCAGGAUGAAGGCCUUCGGGUUGUAAACUGCUUUUGUACGGAACGAAAAAGUCUCCUCUAAUACAGGAGGCCCAUGACAGUACCUGAAGAAUAAGCACCGGCUAACUACGUGCCAGCAGCCGCCGUAA
This 498-nucleotide ribosomal RNA is filed under the name uncultured bacterium. RNAcentral's name for it is "partial 16S ribosomal RNA". It matches the Rfam family "Bacterial small subunit ribosomal RNA", at positions 30 to 523 of the family's 1533-position model. The record is from RNAcentral.